ACACUGAAAGGAGGUGAUCCUGAGUUGAAUUCCAUCAGGAUGUGUGAGGUGGCUGCUCGCUAGAGCCGCCCCUGCCUGUGCAGUAGUGAGGCCGGUACCAGCCUCCGGCGGCAGGCAAUUCCCAGCAGUCACCCGGCCCGUGGGUUCACCGGAGACAUCCCCGGUGCCUCGUCGGCCGCCCUCU
Molecule: small RNA, 184 nt
Filed under: Kitasatospora sp. Root187
Lineage: Bacteria; Bacillati; Actinomycetota; Actinomycetes; Kitasatosporales; Streptomycetaceae
Description: Actinobacteria sRNA Ms_IGR-5
Rfam family: Actinobacteria sRNA Ms_IGR-5
Source: Rfam by way of RNAcentral